Molecule: ribosomal RNA, 497 nt
Filed under: uncultured bacterium
Lineage: Bacteria
Description: partial 16S ribosomal RNA
Rfam family: Bacterial small subunit ribosomal RNA
Source: RNAcentral
GAUGAACGCUGGCGGCGUGCCUAAUACAUGCAAGUCGAGCGAACGGACGAGAAGCUUGCUUCUCUGAUGUUAGCGGCGGACGGGUGAGUAACACGUGGAUAACCUACCUAUAAGACUGGGAUAACUUCGGGAAACCGGAGCUAAUACCGGAUAAUAUUUUGAACCGCAUGGUUCAAAAGUGAAAGACGGUCUUGCUGUCACUUAUAGAUGGAUCCGCGCUGCAUUAGCUAGUUGGUAAGGUAACGGCUUACCAAGGCAACGAUGCAUAGCCGACCUGAGAGGGUGAUCGGCCACACUGGAACUGAGACACGGUCCAGAAUCCUACGGGAGGCAGCAGUAGGGAAUCUUCCGAAAUGGGCGAAAGCCUGACGGAGCAACGCCGCGUGAGUGAUGAAGGUCUUCGGAUCGUAAAAAUCUGUUAUUAGGGAAGAACAUAUGUGUAAGUAACUGUGCACAUCUUGACGGUACCUAAUCAGAAAGCCACGGCUAACUACGUG